This 433-nucleotide ribosomal RNA is filed under the name uncultured bacterium. RNAcentral describes it as "partial 16S ribosomal RNA". It matches the Rfam family "Bacterial small subunit ribosomal RNA", at positions 29 to 507 of the family's 1533-position model. The record is from RNAcentral.
AACGAACGCUGGCGGCAUGCCUAACACAUGCAAGUCGAACGAGACCUUCGGGUCUAGUGGCGCACGGGUGCGUAACGCGUGGGAACCUGCCCUUAGGUUCGGAAUAACUCCCCGAAAGGGGUGCUAAUACCGGAUAAUGUCUUCGGACCAAAGAUUUAUCGCCUUUGGAUGGGCCCGCGUUGGAUUAGCUAGUUGGUAGUGUAAAAGCCUACCAAGGCGACGAUCCAUAGCUGGUCUGAGAGGAUGAUCAGCCACACUGGGACUGAGACACGGCCCAGACUCCUACGGGAGGCAGCAGUGGGGAAUAUUGGAAAAUGGGCGAAAGCCUGAUCCAGCAAUGCCGCGUGAGUGAUGAAGGCCUUAGGGUUGUAAAGCUCUUUUACCCGGGAUGAUAAUGACAGUACCGGGAGAAUAAGCUCCGGCUAACUCCGUG